Long non-coding RNA from Patella vulgata (common limpet), 761 nucleotides. RefSeq lists it as uncharacterized. The record is from RefSeq and is a predicted model, not a curated record. NCBI's taxonomy places the organism in Eukaryota, Metazoa, Mollusca, Gastropoda, Patellidae. The transcript has 3 exons.
GAAGCGAAAACAACAUAAUUUUAAAGAGAGAGUGGAAUAAGAUAGACAUAUUUCUUUGGAAGUCGAGUGUUUAUGGAAUAUAAAGCAUCGUACUGGUUGUAAAUGUGAACAGAAUGAGAUUCUCGAUGGAUUCAAGUUUUAGUUUCGUACUUACUUUUUACAUCGUGAUGAUGGCUGAUGCUGUGAAUAUAUCGUUAAAGAGAGUUGUACCAGCUGAAACAUUACACUGUUAUCAUUGUUUUGAUGUAGAGAUGAAUUGUGUUACCAUGUUAAACAUUACAUUUAUACCAACGGAAGAAUGUACAUUAGAUCAACCAUACUGUAAUGUUGAGAGACUCGAAACUAAUGGUAAAGUGACUAGAUUAAAACGUGGUUGUUCCAGUGAAUGUAAAGCUGGGUGUAAAAAGACAUUACAUUUUACAAAAUGUCGUUCGUGCUGUAUAAGGAGCUAUUGUAACUUGGAUAACACUGCUCAACAGUGUAGAUCACGUGAUAUAUACCUCAUAACAGUUUUACUUGCCAUGUUUGUGUGUGUGGCCUAGUACUCGGUGGACGCACAUUUCCCAGUGGGCAUUUCGGUAUUGGAUAUUUCGGCUGGGACGCUUCGGCCAGUGCACAUUUCGAUCUAGGACGUUUCGGCCCACGGAGGUUUCGGCCAAUUUUAUAAAAAAAAAUGUUUUUAAAGCAUUUAAAGAGAACACCACGUCCAGAAACUUGCACAUUCCGAUGGUUGGUGCAUGGACGAUGACUAGAAGAAAACA